AUGUACCACGCGUACACUCCGGUUCUGAGUGCGCCGUCCGCACCCACCUGACGACUGCUCGCUACGUUUUGUUAGCC
Xanthomonas oryzae pv. oryzae is the source of this 77-nucleotide small RNA. It matches the Rfam family "Xanthomonas sRNA sX9". NCBI's taxonomy places the organism in Bacteria, Pseudomonadati, Pseudomonadota, Gammaproteobacteria, Lysobacterales, Lysobacteraceae. The record is from Rfam.